RNAcentral lists this transfer RNA (85 nucleotides) under Haliscomenobacter hydrossis DSM 1100. Its description in RNAcentral is "tRNA-Ser (GGA) (tRNA-Ser-GGA-1-1)". It matches the Rfam family "tRNA". Rfam says of the family: Transfer RNA (tRNA) molecules are approximately 80 nucleotides in length. Their secondary structure includes four short double-helical elements and three loops (D, anti-codon, and T loops). Further hydrogen bonds mediate the characteristic L-shaped molecular structure. tRNAs have two regions of fundamental functional importance: the anti-codon, which is responsible for specific mRNA codon recognition, and the 3' end, to which the tRNAs corresponding amino acid is attached (by aminoacyl-tRNA synthetases). tRNAs cope with the degeneracy of the genetic code in two manners: having more than one tRNA (with a specific anti-codon) for a particular amino acid; and 'wobble' base-pairing, i.e. permitting non-standard base-pairing at the 3rd anti-codon position. Lineage: Bacteria; Pseudomonadati; Bacteroidota; Saprospiria; Saprospirales; Haliscomenobacteraceae. RNAcentral also lists the same sequence under 1 other name. The record is from Rfam by way of RNAcentral.
AGAGAGGUGCUCGAGUGGUUUAAGAGGUACGCCUGGAAAGCGUAUAUACCGCAAGGUAUCGAGAGUUCGAAUCUCUUCCUCUCUG